GAUGAACGCUGGCGGCGUGCCUAAUACAUGCAAGUAGAACGCUGAAGGAAGGAGCUUGCUCUUUCCGGAUGAGUUGCGAACGGGUGAGUAACGCGUAGGUAACCUGCCUGGUAGCGGGGGAUAACUAUUGGAAACGAUAGCUAAUACCGCAUAACAGUAGAUGUUGCAUGAUAUCUACUUAAAAGGUGCAAUUGCACCACUACCAGAUGGACCUGCGUUGUAUUAGCUAGUUGGUGAGGUAACGGCUCACCAAGGCGACGAUACAUAGCCGACCUGAGAGGGUGAUCGGCCACACUGGGACUGAGACACGGCCCAGACUCCUACGGGAGGCAGCAGUAGGGAAUCUUCGGCAAUGGACGGAAGUCUGACGGAGCAACCCCGCGUGAGUGAAGAAGGUUUUCGGAUCGUAAAGCUCUGUUGUAAGGGAAGAACGAGCGUGAGAGUGGAAAGUUCACACUGUGACGGUAUUUUACCAGAAAGGGACGGCUAACUCCGU
This 496-nucleotide ribosomal RNA is filed under the name uncultured bacterium. RNAcentral describes it as "partial 16S ribosomal RNA". It matches the Rfam family "Bacterial small subunit ribosomal RNA", at positions 28 to 506 of the family's 1533-position model. The record is from RNAcentral.